Molecule: ribosomal RNA, 468 nt
Filed under: uncultured bacterium
Lineage: Bacteria
Description: partial 16S ribosomal RNA
Rfam family: Bacterial small subunit ribosomal RNA
Source: RNAcentral
GACGAAGGCUGGCGGCGUGCUUAACACAGGCAAGUCGAACGGAAAGGCCCUGCUUUUUUGGGGUUCUCGAGGGGCGAACGGGUGAGUAACACGUGAGUAACCUGCCCUUUGCUUUGGUAUAACUUCAGGAAACUGGGGCUAAUACCGGAUAGGAGCUCCUGCUGCAUGGUGGGGGUUGGAAAGUUUCGGCGGUUGGGGAUGGACUUGCGGCUUAUCAGCUUGUUGGUCGGGUAGUGGCUUACCAAGGCUUUGACGGGUAGCCGGCCUGAGAGGGUGUACGGCCACAUUGGGACUGAGAUACGGCCCAGACUCCUACGGGAGGCAGCAGUGGGGAAUAGUGCACAAUGGGAGGAAGCCUGAUGCAGCAACGCCGCGUGCGGGAUGACGGCCUUCGGGUUGUAAACCGCUUUCGCCUGUGACGAAGCGUGAGUGACGGUAAUGGGUAAAGAAGCACCGGCUAACUACGUG